UACGUUCCCGGGCCUUGUACACACCGCCCGUCACACCACAAAGCCGGUAACACCCGAAGCCGGUGUCCUAACCCGCAAGGGGAGGGGAGCCGUCGAAGGUGGGGAUUGGUGAUUGGGGUG
This 120-nucleotide ribosomal RNA is filed under the name uncultured bacterium. RNAcentral describes it as "partial 16S ribosomal RNA". It matches the Rfam family "Bacterial small subunit ribosomal RNA", at positions 1367 to 1482 of the family's 1533-position model. The record is from RNAcentral.